Molecule: long non-coding RNA, 1831 nt
Filed under: Manacus vitellinus (golden-collared manakin)
Lineage: Eukaryota; Metazoa; Chordata; Aves; Passeriformes; Pipridae
Description: lncRNA (ENSMVIG00005007703.1)
Source: RNAcentral
GGAGCUCAAAGCAAGGUCCCUGCCAUGGAUUCAGGCAUUGCUGAGAGUAUCCCAGGGGUCCCUGUCCCUGCUAGACAUGGAGCUCUCUAAUGGGCUGUAAUUGGGUGAUAAAAGUGGUGCUCCAAGUGCCAAAGAAGUGUGGGGUUGGGAUUAAGAAAUGAGCAGUGAGGGUCCAAUUGGCUGUUUGCUCUGGAAUGUGACUGUAAGAGCUGCAGGAGUGCAAGGUGUGUGUUCCAGUCCCCAGCAUUUGGUUUGCACAUGUCCUGGUCAGACACAGGUCCAACUUGCUCCGUCCUUAACACAAGAGAGGGAGAAUGAAGGACUGGCAGUGUUAAGGUGAUUGGUGUGACAGGGGUUAAACUGGGAAAACAUUGGGUAAUUCCUCAGUUUCUCUAUUUGCCAAACUCGCCCAAACCUGUACUAGGAAGAGAUUGAGUGGAAAAGUUGAGGCAGAAAUGCAAGUGAAAACUGGGGAUAUUGAAACUGUAAUUGCUGUAACUAAAUGUGUCCAAGCAGCAGCUCUUGUUGUGCAGGGAAUAACUCCUGUCAGCAGCAAGGCCCCGACUGAAGUGGCAGCUGCAGUUGUUCCUGUGGUGUGGGCCAGUGGAGUUGCAGGAGAGUGGAAGAGGGCAGAACCUGACGUGAAUGCAAGAACCUGCCAAGAAAACCAAUGGCCAAGAUGAUUGAUGAGUGCAGGACCUGAGAGAAGCACCUUGAAUGACAACCUGGAGGAGUUUCCAGUAUUGGAUUUAAAAGAUGGCCUUUGCCUCUCCUUGAGCAAGGAAAGCCAAGAAAGCUUUGCUUUGGAGGAGAAAAUGGGGCAAGCAGGCAGGAAGAAGAGAAGCCCCGUGACUCCUCCCUGAGCCCCAGACAGCCCAUGAACUGCCUUGCUGGCAAUGGUGGGACGGGCUGGACUCUGCAUUGCUCCCUCGGGAUGUGUGGCUCUCCCCUCAGGAACUGCAGGAACUCCUGGUGCCGCCUGGGCCGAUGGAUUGGACGCCCCAGCCCCUCCGUUCCUGCCCAGCCACUGGGUCCGUGUCCAGUGGUGGCACUGCCAGCCCUGCAGGUGAAGUGGGAAGGGCCUUUCCAGGUCUUGUGGGUCACAUUUAUAGCAGCUGAAGUUGCAGAAAGGAUGUUGGGUCUCUUGUUCUUGAGUUCAGAAAGCUCCUUUUAUUGGUGAGCAGAACAAAGUGGAUCCUUCAGAGUUCCCAUCCGUGUUUGUGUCUCAGCCUGUGUUAGGAUUCAGGGCUGUAGCUGUUGUUGUCACUGAGGAGUCAAACUGUGCUUUAAAUAAUGAGACACUGGCCUGAUGGCCGAGUGUCAGGAAGAAAGGGGGAAUGCUGUCUGAGUGUUGAGAUGUAACAAGGGCUAAUCCUUUUUGCAGUGGGAUGUAGCCUGGAAAGUGCACAGAGCUGAGCCAAGGGAUUGAAAGGUACCAACCAAGGGAGGUGAAGAAAGAAGGAAGAAGGGAAGUGAGGCAGCAGCCAAGCAGCACCAAGUGCUGUGUAAGCAGGUGAGUUGUGUUGAGGUACCUAAGGCAGGCACUGAGGACUUGGAGGGCUCCAGACAGAGCAGAGCUGCGAAGGCCCUCGGUGAAGCCCCUUGGAAACCUUCCAAGGGUAGGUGUGUAUGGUAGUAAGUGUUGGAAAAUGCCCUGAAUGUGGAAUAGGAAUGUAGAGAACAAAAGUAAAUCCUCCUGUAAUGCUGCCAUAUCAGCUGCAGUGGAGACACCUGUGUGUUCCCUUUGGGAGCUGAUUGCCAGGGCACCUGGUGGGGUGGAAUGAUUCAAGAGCAUAGGAAUAAAAGGUUGCCUGGCUUCUAAACCUCUCCA